AUCGCUUUGGUGGAGUGGUUAACACACGGUAGCCUGCUAAGCUGCUGUCCUUUGGACGCGCAGGUUCGAAUCCUGCAGGCGACG
Molecule: transfer RNA, 84 nt
Filed under: Parasitella parasitica
Lineage: Eukaryota; Fungi; Mucoromycota; Mucoromycetes; Mucorales; Mucoraceae
Description: tRNA-Ser (GCT) (tRNA-Ser-GCT-3-1)
Rfam family: tRNA
About the family: Transfer RNA (tRNA) molecules are approximately 80 nucleotides in length.
Source: Rfam by way of RNAcentral